CCCAUUUAACACCAAAAUAAAAAUAACUUGGUUAUCUAAUGCUAAAUCACUGCUAUUCUCAGCACAGCUUCUAAUAGAACUGCUUUGGCUACACUGGGAGGAGUAACAUUUGUAAACUGUUGUGCUAGUAAUGUCCUAAUGACCUGAGUUCAGAGCAAAGACGUAAGCACAUCUGCUGUCCAGGAACCUGUUUACACCAAAAAUAUUGUUACUAUACAUAGGGGUGUGAAGAAUGCUCUGAUUACUUGUGUGAGGGUAAUAGGAUUUCUGUGCACUUUUCAAAAUCUAGGAUGUGACCAUUAUGAUCAGCUAUUUGAAAACUAUCAGUAGACUUACUUCUUCAGAUUAGGCCAUACCAUUACAAGUUGAGUACAAACAACAUUCUCAAAAUCCUUGUUUGCAAGAGGUGAAGAUGUGCCUUUAAUACCAUAUGAAUGGAGAAUUCCAGUUCUAUUCACCUAAACACUCAUUAGAACUAAAACAUACUGCACAUGAGCCAAGACUAAGGGACUCAUGUUGUAAAAGGAUGCAAUAAUCACUGCUCUGAAUGCAGAAUAAAGUUUUACUGACAAAACGAGCCUUGAGAUUUGAUGCCAUUUAUAAUGAUGCUAUUAUUUCACUAGGCAGCUAGUGAUGCUUCUGCUCUACUUGCUUUUUUGUAAAAUGGUUAUUGAAAAGCACCCACAUUUGUUACUAGACUUUUCACAAGCUCCCAGUGAUCUCAUGAGGAAACACUAUCUCGGCUUAAGACAAGCUAUGCUUGAUCAGCAUAAGUAAGUUGGACUUCUCGUUUUCUGCUGAGGUAUCCUCAGUUCCUUCCUGCUCCCUGGCAUUAUUUAUGAGAGAAACCAAAUAGGUUUGUGGUUUCCAUGAGAUCAGUCCUUCAAUCAUUAAAAUAAAAACUUGCACUAUGUACAGAUAGGUAGAAUCAUGGGACAACUAUCAUUGCUAUGUCCUGUGGAAUGGUAAUGGUCUGGGACGGUGACCAAGCAUGCUAAGGAAACACAGCUUAGAUGGAUCUACAUCCACUUAUUUCCAUUGUGGUUCACAAACCCUGGCAUGGGUUUGUAUGAUGCAGCAGUCACUUCCCUGAAUAAUGUAUGUGUGUCUGGUACUUUCAUUAUGUUUCCUCCCAUCCAAAGAUGUAAAGAAUAUGAAAAUCCAGAAGAUUAUUUCAAAAUUUUUCCUUCUGGUAUUGUGAUUUUAAUAAUAGGCUCAAGCAGUGAUGUAAGACUCAAGUAGUGAGGGAAGAAGGAAAGCCUGGAAGGUCAAGCCCAGAACUGUCCUCAGAGCUGAAAAGGUUUGCAAAACAGUGAAAAGGGGCACCACUCCUUCAGAGAAUCACUAUUCUGAUUUUAUCUCAGCCACCAGCUUCCUGUCAACCAAAGCCCAUCACCUGACUUUAUGCCUUACUCCUGAAACGGUGGUAAUGUUGAGCUUUUAGUUAAAUUCUUUCCAGUUAAAGACCACAAGACAUCAAGAUGUGCCCAGGCUGUGUGAUGCUGACAGUGAGCUGGUUUGAGUACCAAACUCCUAUGCUUAGCUCUGCUGAGUCCCCAGAUGAAGUGCUGAGCCAUGUUCCAGACCUGUGCCAGGAAAAAGACUGAACUCAUGCUAGCUAAGAGCACUACCCUUCUGAAAGUGCUGCCUGAGACCUUGUGCUAUGAGGAGAUACAGAGACUGCACCACCUAGCUCUGGAAAAGCGUAGCUGGGAUUUGAGAAGAUCUUGCAGAAGACAAUGGAAAAACAGACUUCAGUUGCCCUAAACUUGUGCUUGCUCCUACAUGGAAAUCAAGACUUCAGUGACAAAGUCCUGGAGGAGGGCUCUUCCUGCCCCACCAUGGGGAGGCCGAGGGGCUCUUCGUCUGCCGAUAUAUUUGUUAGGUGUGACAAAGGGGACAGUGACAUGCUCUGGCAUGACAACUGUAUUGCUUAUGUGCAGCCGCAAAGGGACUGAAGGAUGUUUUGAAGAUAUACAUGUGUAUAGAGAAAUUAAUCAAUGUUUAUAAACAUAGGAAAAGAUUUUGGCUAGGUAUUUCUAAUAAAUCUGGAAUUGUUUUAACAGGUUUACAUUGUUAUUCAUAAUAUAAGGGGAAAAGAACUUAGAUGUAAAACGA
Molecule: long non-coding RNA, 2118 nt
Organism: Falco peregrinus (peregrine falcon)
Lineage: Eukaryota; Metazoa; Chordata; Aves; Falconiformes; Falconidae
Exons: 2
Source: RefSeq, a predicted model, not a curated record